UGCGGUUCUUGUAGUUGAAAUACAACGGUGGUUUUUCAUGCCAUUAGUCAUGGUUAGAGUCCAUGUGGGAAUA
This 73-nucleotide transfer RNA is filed under the name Pteropus dasymallus (Ryukyu flying fox). RNAcentral's name for it is "tRNA-Glu". It matches the Rfam family "tRNA". Rfam says of the family: Transfer RNA (tRNA) molecules are approximately 80 nucleotides in length. Their secondary structure includes four short double-helical elements and three loops (D, anti-codon, and T loops). Lineage: Eukaryota; Metazoa; Chordata; Mammalia; Chiroptera; Pteropodidae. The record is from RNAcentral.